AACGAACGCUGGCGGCGCGCCUAACACAUGCAAGUCGAGCGAUUAAAGCUCCUUCGGGAGUAUAUAAAGCGGCGGACGGGUGAGUAAGGCAUAGACAACCUGCCCUAAAGAGGGGGAUAGCUUGGAGAAAUUCGGGUUAAUACCGCGUAAGCUGUUUGAGUGAAUACAACCAGUAAAGGCUUCGGCCGCUUUGGGAUGGGUCUAUGUUAGAUUAGAUAGUUGGUGGGGUAACGGCCUACCAAGUCGACGAUCUAUAACUGGUCUGAGAGGAUGAUCAGUCACACUGGAACUGAGACACGGUCCAGACUCCUACGGGAGGCAGCAGUGAGGAAUUUUGCGCAAUGGGCGAAAGCCUGACGCAGCGACGCCGCGUGGAGGACGAAGUCUCUCGAGAUGUAAACUCCUGUCAGUGGGGAUGAUAAUGACAGUACCCACAGAGGAAGCACCGGCUAACUCCGUGCCAGCAGCCGCGGUAAGACGGAGGGUGCAAGCGUUGUUCGGAUUUACUGGGCGUAAAGCGUACGUAGGCGGCUUUGUAAGUCAGUGGUGAAAUCCUGCCGCUUAACGGUAGAAUUGCCAUUGAUACUGCAGGGCUUGAGUAUGGUUGAGGUAGGCGGAAUGUGUGGUGUAGCGGUGAAAUGCAUAGAUAUCACACAGAACACCGAUUGCGAAGGCAGCUUACUAAACCAUUACUGACGCUGAGGCACGAAAGCGUGGGGAAGCGAACAGGAUUAGAUACCCUGGUAGUCCACGCCGUAAACGAUGUUCACUCGCUGUUUGCAAUACACAGUAAGUGGCUUAGCGAAAGCAUUAAGUGAACCACCUGGGGAGUACGAUCGCAAGGUUGAAACUCAAAGGAAUUGACGGGGGCCCGCACAAGCGGAGGAACAUGUGGUUUAAUUCGAUGAUACGCGAGGAACCUUACCUGGGCUUAAAUGUAGAUUGCAUAGGGUAGAAAUCCUUUUCCUUCGGGACUAUUUACAAGGUGCUGCAUGGUUGUCGUCAGCUCGUGCCGUGAGGUGUCGGGUUAAGUCCCAUAACGAGCGCAACCCCUAUCGUUAGUUGCCAGCGGGUCAUGCCGGGGACUCUAGCGAGACUGCCACCGUAAGGUGAGAGGAAGGUGGGGAUGACGUCAAAUCAGCACGGCCCUUAUGUCCAGGGCUACACACGUGUUACAAUGGCCGAUACAAAGGGCAGCUACCAGGUGACUGGAUGCUAAUCUCUAAAGUCGGUCUCAGUUCGGAUCGAAGUCUGCAACCCGACUUCGUGAAGUUGGAUUCGCUAGUAAUCGUAUAUCAGCAAUGAUACGGUGAAUACGUUCCCGGGCCUUGUACACACCGCCCGUCAAGCCAUGGAAGCUGGGGGUACCUGAAGUCUGUCACCGCAAGGAGCGGCCUAGGGUAAAACUAGUAACUGGUGUU
This 1421-nucleotide ribosomal RNA is filed under the name uncultured prokaryote. RNAcentral describes it as "partial 16S ribosomal RNA". It matches the Rfam family "Bacterial small subunit ribosomal RNA". The record is from RNAcentral.